This 549-nucleotide ribosomal RNA is filed under the name uncultured Chaetothyriales. RNAcentral's name for it is "eukaryotic LSU rRNA". The stretch from base 188 to 341 matches the Rfam family "5.8S ribosomal RNA". The record is from RNAcentral. Lineage: Eukaryota; Fungi; Ascomycota; Eurotiomycetes; Chaetothyriales.
GUGACCUGCGGAGGAUCAUUAUCGAGUUUGGGUCCUCUGGGCCCCUUCUCCAACCCUUGUUGCUUUGGCGGGCCCGUCCCUCACCGGACGGCUGGGGAUACCCCCCGGCCCGCGCCCGCCGAAAAAACACACCCCUCAAAUUCAUCGAUCAGUGAUGUAUCUAAAGCUUUUGAAAAGCAAUUACCAAAACUUUCAACAACGGAUCUCUUGGUUCUGGCAUCGAUGAAGAACGCAGCGAAAUGCGAUAAGUAAUGCGAAUUGCAGAAUUCCGCGAGUCAUCGAAUCUUUGAACGCACAUUGCGCCCUCUGGCAUUCCGGAGGGCAUGCCUGUCCGAGCGUCAUUAUCAACCCCUCAAGCCCUGGCUUGGUCUUGGGUCCCGUCGGGGUCAGUUGGAGCCCGACGGAUCCGAAAGGGAAUGGCAGGGCCCGUGGGAACCCUGGAUGCAGCGAGCUUUACGGCACGCGUCACGGUGGACCCCGGGCUCGGUUGGAACCGAUUAUCUUUCUGUGAUUGACCUCGGAUCAGGUAGGGAUACCCGCUGAACUUAA